Molecule: long non-coding RNA, 783 nt
Filed under: Aquila chrysaetos chrysaetos
Lineage: Eukaryota; Metazoa; Chordata; Aves; Accipitriformes; Accipitridae
Description: lncRNA (ENSACCG00020006134.1)
Source: RNAcentral
CUUAGUCAUACAAGUAAUACAGUUUUUCUCAUUCCAAAUUGUUGUUGCUCCUAGGUGUAGCCAGUCUCCUGUGAAAUGUUGAAAGGCAAACCUUCUGAAGAAGUCAAGAUGAAAUACCUCUGCUUUUGUCCAAGCAGGGAGGAAUGGGAAGCAGUAUGUGUGGUAUCAUCUCAGUCCAGCUCUGGGGGCUAGAGUUACAGAAAGACUAGAAUAAUGACAAAGUGCUACAAAUAUCCAGAGCGCUGUUACACAGAUAUGAAGAUCCAGGAUGGCUGCUUCUUUUACCUUCACAUUUUCAGAAGCAGGAGAAGCUGCAGGGUCACAGCAGUGGGAUGAUCAGAUGGCUCUUGUAGUGGGUAGAAGGAAUCCAAGCAGCAGCGGAGGAUGUUGCAGCAGCAGGUAUGAGACAUGCUUUAUUAUAGCUGUAGUUUUGAGUCCCUUGUCUGUUUUGAAUUGAUCUGUCGGUACUUGACUGACUUGCUCUCCUUGGUCUCCUUGUACUCAUUUACAUGCUCUAUUACGAUGUUGGCAGUGCUGGAUAUCCGUGAUUACUUUUAAGUGCACUCUUUCUUUCUGGUAUAUUGAUGAUUCAUACUAUUAGGAGAGGCUUCCUGCCUUUCCAUGACUUUGUGAAAAUGAUCUAUUUCAUAAUGUCUCCUUACUCUUAGCAGGGCUUGUGCUCUGUUCCCAAAACUCCCACUGUUUUCACUGCAAGCAUGACCAGACUGUGAAAUAGCUUGGCUGGUCUGGUGAAUAAUCUGUUAGUCUCUUUUAAUAAACUGC